Molecule: transfer-messenger RNA, 251 nt
Filed under: uncultured Bartonella sp.
Lineage: Bacteria; Pseudomonadati; Pseudomonadota; Alphaproteobacteria; Hyphomicrobiales; Bartonellaceae
Description: partial ssrA
Rfam family: Alphaproteobacteria transfer-messenger RNA
About the family: Bacterial tmRNA, also known as 10Sa RNA or SsrA, is named for its dual tRNA and mRNA-like properties. Its role is to liberate the mRNA from a stalled ribosome.
Source: RNAcentral
ACUUAUUGGACCCGGGGGCGGUACCCGGCGCCUCCACCAAAGUAUAGAGAGAGAAAUAUAUUUUGAUGGGGGCGAAAUAGGAUCGACAAAAGUGUAAAGAUUGCUCUUUUACUCGGCAUAGUACCACCGUUAUCGGACUAAAUAAGUAGUUGCAAAUGACAACUAUGCGGAAGAACUUCGUGCUGCCGCUUAAGGUAGGUGAAUUCUUCAAAUUGAGUCUUAAACCGUCGCAGGUUUAAGCGGGGUUCGGA